Molecule: unclassified non-coding RNA, 674 nt
Filed under: Hevea brasiliensis (rubber tree)
Lineage: Eukaryota; Viridiplantae; Streptophyta; Magnoliopsida; Malpighiales; Euphorbiaceae
Source: RNAcentral
GGUCUUCCAACUUCAAACUUCGAUUAAGCAAGCUUCGGCUAUGGAUGUUGUUACUCAAAGAAACUCUUCUUCUUCCGUUUCCAUGUUGAAUCCUAACGCUCCCUUGUUCGUUCCGAUGGCGUACAGGACGGUGGAGGAUUUCUCCGACCAGUGGUGGGAUCUUAUCCAGUCGUCGCCGUGGUUUCGUGAGUACUGGCUUCAAGAACGCUUUCAAGAUCCUCAAAAUGAUCUUUCGUUCGCAGAAAAUGAAGAAUUUGUCCUUCCGGAUCUUGAGAAUUUCUUCGACGACUUCACUCGUCAACAGGAAGAGGAAGAAUUGGACUUCUCGAAGGAUUUGGUUCCAAUGGGAGCUUUCAAAUGGCAGAAGGCUCGGUCUGGAGCGGAGGUUCCUAAGUAUGCUCAAAAGGCUCCCAAGAUCGUGAACGUGAAAGUGAGUCCGAGGACGAUUCACCAGCCGAGAUGAACUCGACGCGGUAUUUCCAACUCAUCGAGUAUGUUUCUUCAUCAGAACUCAGGAACCAGUUUGAAUUGUUGUUGAUCUAGGUUUUCCAUUUCGUUUAUGUACAGAGUCUAGAACUUGAUCUGUUACAAAUUAACUCCGAUGGUCUGUGUUUAGUUCAUGUAAAUUUGUACCAAGUCUUACUUUCGAUUAUGAUAGAAUAAAGAGUUCCAAA